Molecule: transfer RNA, 93 nt
Filed under: Gammaproteobacteria bacterium
Lineage: Bacteria; Pseudomonadati; Pseudomonadota; Gammaproteobacteria
Also listed under: 1 other name
Description: tRNA-Sec
Rfam family: Selenocysteine transfer RNA
Source: RNAcentral
GGAAGAGUACCGUCCCCGGUGGGGCGCGCGGCCUUCAAAGCCGUUGAGACGCUUGAACGUGUCUGGUGGGUUCGACUCCUACCUCUUCCGCCA